CCAAAACUUAGCUGCUCCAGUUCAGGCUGGUUGCACGCUUCAACCCUUUGUGAACCAAAAACCUUUACGCUUCGGCAGCUGGUUCCAGCUGUAAGCCUGCCGAUGGCACCCAUUUAAACCUGUCGUUAAAUAUUUGUCUGAACUAAAUAUUUUCGAAUGAAAUUA
This 165-nucleotide unclassified non-coding RNA is filed under the name soil metagenome. RNAcentral describes it as "partial internal transcribed spacer 1". The record is from RNAcentral.